ACCACCCUGGGAUAUUUGCUAGGCCGUCUAGACCCCUGAGCCGAUGCUUUUAUACCCGGAGCGCUUUAGCCGAGAUCUGUGUGCAUGUCCGCUUGUCGGAAAGCCUAACGAUCUCGCGGAGUGCUCCACCUUGAACCGCUGGGUUCAAGGGCCACGCGGCCAGCGGUAUCUUGGGGCUUUU
Molecule: non-coding RNA, 181 nt
Organism: gamma proteobacterium BDW918
Lineage: Bacteria; Pseudomonadati; Pseudomonadota; Gammaproteobacteria; Cellvibrionales; Spongiibacteraceae
Rfam family: 6S / SsrS RNA
About the family: E. coli 6S RNA was the first non coding RNA to be sequenced, but its function was unknown until recently. It consists of 184 nucleotides that fold into an extended hairpin structure with a large single-stranded internal bulge.
Source: Rfam